This is an RNA transcript of Pan troglodytes (chimpanzee), 4041 nucleotides long. It is a transcript of the gene named dehydrogenase/reductase 2, with no coding region annotated. Lineage: Eukaryota; Metazoa; Chordata; Mammalia; Primates; Hominidae. The transcript has 8 exons. The record is from RefSeq and is a predicted model, not a curated record.
UUGUGAUAGUGAGUGAGUUCUCAUGAGAUCUGGUUGUUUGGAAGUGUGUAGCACCUCCCCCUUUGCUCUCACUUCCUCCUGCUCCAGCUGUGUAAGUCCUGCCUGCUUCAUUUCACCUUCUGCCUUAAUUGUAAGUUUCCUGAGGCCUUCCCAGCCAUGCUUCCUGUACAGCCUGUGGAAUUGUGAGUCAAUUAAACCUCUUUUCUUUAUAAAUUACCCAGUCUCAGGUAGUUCUUUUUUUUUUUUUUUGAGACAGGGUCUUGCUCUGUCUCCCAGGCUGGAGUACGGUGGUGCAAUCUCAGCUCACCACAGCCUUGACCUCCUGGGCUCAAGCAAUCGUCCCAUCUUAGUCUCCCGAGUAGCUGUGACUACAGGCAUGCACCACCACACCCAGCUAAUUUUUAUAGAGACAGGGUUUCACCUUGUUGCCCAGGCUGGUCUCAAACUCCUGAGCUCAAGGGAUCUGCCCACCGUGGCCUUCCAAAGUACUGGGAUUACAGGUGUGAGCUACCGUGCCUGGCCUCAGGUAGUUCUUUAUAGCAGUGUGAAAACAAACUAAUACAGACUUGUUUCCAGUUUGGAACAUUCUAAGCAGGCUUCUGUGAACAUGUGUGUACAGUCUCUUGGUGCACACAUGACCUCCUGUCUGCAGGAUGCAAGUUCCCUCUACAGAGUCAGAGAUCUUUAUUUUCAACUUCUCCGUAUAAUGCCAAAUCAUUUCCCAAAGUGAUUGUACUUGCCCUCUACCCAGCAGUGAAUGAGAGUUUCUGUUGAUUUUGCUUUUUCAACUAGAAGUGAGAGGUGACAAUGUGCUAGCAGCCCUUGCUCACUCUUGGUGCCUCCUCGUCCUCCACAUCCACUCUGGCUGUGCUUGAGGAGCCCUUCAGCCCGCCACUGCACUGUGGGGGCCCCUCUCUGGGGCUGGCCAAGGCCGAAGCCGGCUCCCUCUGCUCGCCAGGAGGUGUGGAGGGAGAGGCGCUGGCAGGAGCCCACACUGUACAGGGCACUCACCAGCCAGCAGGGGCUCCGUGGGCCGGCCGGUGCCAGCUGGGCUUGACUGGGGGAUGAGCUCCCUCUGGGCUGCUGGAGUGCCUGGGCUAGGUGCCGCAAAGUCCCGCAGUGCGUGCCAUUGAGAGGUGAAGCCGGCUGGGCUUCUGGGUCCAGUGGGGACCUGGAGAACUUUUCUGUCUAGCUAAAGGUUUGUAAAUGCACCAAUCAGCACUCUGUGUCUAGCUAAAGGUUUGUAAAUGCACCCAUCAGCACUCUGUGUCUAGCUAAAGGUUUGUAAAUGCACCAAUCAGCAAUCUGUUUGUAAAUGCACCAAUCAGCACUCUGUCAAAAUGGACCAAUCAGCUCUCUGUAAAACAGACCAAUCAGCUCUCUGUAAAAUGGACCAAUCAGCUCUCUGUAAAAUGGACCAAUCAGCAGGAUGUGGGUGUGGCCAGUUAAGGGAAUAAAAGCAGGCUGCCUGAGCCGGCAGCGGCAACCUGCUCUGGUUCCCUUCCAUGCCGUGGAAGCUUUGUUCUUUUGGUCUUCACGAUAAAUCUUGCUGCUGCUCACUCGUUGGGUCCGUGCUGCCUUUAAGAGCUGUAACACUCACCGCGAAGGUCUGCAACUUCACUCCUGGGGCCAGCAAGACCACGAAUCCACCGAGAGGAAUGAACAAUUCUGGACACACCAUCUUUAAGAACCGUAAUACUCACCGCAAGGGUCUGCAACUUCAUUCUUGAAGUCAGUGAGGCCAAAAACCCACCAAUUCUGGACGCAUUUUGGUGACCUUGAAGAGACUAUCACCUAUCACGAAGUGGUGAGAAUAUUGCCAAGCAGUGAGACUAUCACCAAGUGGUGAGACCAUCACCAAGCGGUGAGACUAUCACCUAUCGCCAAGUGGCCUGAUUCAGCAGGAAGCAUCUCAGACACCAACCACUAUGCUGUCAGCAGUGGCCCGGGGCUACUGGGGCUGGUUUCAUCCCUGUGCUAGGCUUUCUGUGAGGAUGAGCAGCACUGGGAUAGACGGAAAGGGCGUCCUGGCUAACCGGGUAGCCGUGGUCACGGGGUCCACCAGUGGGAUUGGCUUUGCCAUCGCCCGACGUCUGGCCCAGGACGGGGCCCACGUGGUCAUCAGCAGCCGGAAGCAGCAGAACGUGGACUGGGCCAUGGCCAAGCUGCAGGGGGAGGGGCUGAGCGUGGCGGGCAUUGUGUGCCACGUGGGGAAGGCUGAGGACCGGGAGCAGCUGGUGGCCAAGGCCCUGGAGCACUGUGGGGGCGUCGACUUCCUGGUGUGCAGUGCAGGGGUCAACCCUCUGGUGGGGAGCACUCUGGGGACCAGUGAGCAGAUCUGGGACAAGGGACCUCAGGGUGGUACCCACUUCUGACAUCUGGACCACUUCUUGCAGUCAUUGGGGGUCAUCCCCCACACUGGUAACCUGUCAUCAAAUGGGCCACAGCAACAUUCAGCUUAAGUAUUUCUCCUUCCCACAUCCAAGGGAUUGAGUGGGCGUGAGAUUGGGGGGUGGAAAAAACAGUGAACAGUCCUGGUGAGUUGCAGAUGUGGUCUCAUUCCCUAGAGAUGCAGGAUGCAGCUGACCUGAAUCAGGACAGAUCCCUGCAGGAGGGACUCCUGGUGCCAUGUCAGUCCCACCUGGCACUGCCCUAGCUCCCAGGCUCUGCCUCUGCAUCUUUCCUUGCUACUUCCUCUUUCACUUCUCCCCUGUUCCCAGACCCACCAGACAGAGCUUCCAGAGUGUCAGGACAUGUGUGACUUAGCCCAGAUUCAGACUUUAGUCACAAGCAGGAUCAGCAUAGACAUCUAGCUCCCAGCAUGGCAAUUCUCUGUUGUGUCUCCCUGUUUGUAUUGGCUGCAGGAAAGCUCAGAGCCAAGUCUGCGAUAAGCUGGUGUGUGUAGGCCCUUACAGCCUGCAUUUUUAUGACCAAAUAAUAGAAUAAAUGCUCAGUCCUUAUCACAUGCUGUGAACUGUAGGCACCAACCUCCCUCUAGCUUUUUCUUAUUUUUCUACACUGAUUUUUCCUUUUCUCCAUUUUUUCACACAUAGUACCUAUUUGAUUUAUUUUAUGCUGUUGCAUUGUGAGUAUGCCUUAAAUUCUAUGGGGACAAGGUAAGAGGACAAGCAAAUGAAAGCUCAGAGAGACAAAAAAGGCUCUUCCAGAAAUCUCCCUUGCUUCUAGCACCUGCUUCCCCUCCAUCAGGCUGUCUUCAGUCUUUCUCCAGAGGCCUCUGCUUACAGUGUGUUGUUGUUUUCUUUUUAAGAGACAGGGUCUCACUCUGUCACCCAGGCUGGAGUGCAGUGGCAUGAUCAUGGCACACUGCAGCUUCAAACUCCUGGGCUUAAGGGAUCCUCCUGCCUCAGCCUCCUGAGUAGCUAGAAUUAUAGGUGUGCACCACCACACCAGGCCAAUUAUUUAAAAAUCUUGUAGAGACAAGGUCUCACUAUGUUGCUCAGGCUGGUCUUGAACUUUUGGCCUUGAGUAAUCCUCCCACCUUGGCCUCCUAAAGUGCUGAGAUUACAGGCAUGACCCACUGCCCCCAAUCCCCAUUUUCUUUAAACGUCCUGAACAUUUCCUUCCUCGUGUCAGUCCUGAACAAUUCACAUUUUCAGGGCUCUGCUCACAGGCCUGUGACUUAGCCUGCCUGCCUAUGAAACCAUUAGCAAAUUGGAAAUACCUCUUGCACCGGUCAGAAGGGGGAUUGGUUUCUCUUAUAUGCACAUAAAUUGGGUCUACUGCACAAAUUACAGGGCUCCAAGUGUCUUAUGAGAGCGGGACUUGGGCUGACCAUGUCUCUCUGCCCUCACCCAUGCUCUGCUCUGAUUUCAGAUCCUAAGUGUGAACGUGAAGUCCCCAGCCCUGCUGCUGAGCCAGUUGCUGCCCUACAUGGAGAACAGGAGGGGUGCUGUCAUCCUGGUCUCUUCCAUUGCAGCUUAUAAUCCAGUAGUGGCGCUGGGUGUCUACAAUGUCAGCAAGACAGCGCUGCUGGGUCUCACUAGAACACUGGCAUUGGAGCUGGCCCCCAAGGACAUCCGG